This 253-nucleotide ribosomal RNA is filed under the name uncultured bacterium. Its description in RNAcentral is "partial 16S ribosomal RNA". It matches the Rfam family "Bacterial small subunit ribosomal RNA", at positions 524 to 776 of the family's 1533-position model. The record is from RNAcentral.
CACGUAGGGGGCAAGCGUUGUCCGGAUUUAUUGGGCGUAAAGAGCUCGUAGGCGGCUCGUUGCGUCGGCUGUGAAAACCCACAGCUUAACUGUGGGCCUGCAGCCGAUACGGGCGAGCUAGAGUUCGGUAGGGGAGACUGGAAUUCCUGGUGUAGCGGUGAAAUGCGCAGAUAUCAGGAGGAACACCGGUGGCGAAGGCGGGUCUCUGGGCCGAUACUGACGCUGAGGAGCGAAAGCGUGGGGAGCGAACAGG